Molecule: small nuclear RNA, 24 nt
Filed under: Arabidopsis thaliana (thale cress)
Lineage: Eukaryota; Viridiplantae; Streptophyta; Magnoliopsida; Brassicales; Brassicaceae
Description: snRNA_03476
Source: RNAcentral
AUAUGGUCGUAUAUGAAACUUGUU